GUGAGCAACCUGGCUCUAAGAGGGGGACAACAGUUGGAAACGACUGCUAAUACCGCAUAACGUAUCGGGAUGGCAUCUUCCUGAUACCAAAGAUUUUAUCGCUUAGAGAUGGGCUCGCGUCUGAUUAGAUAGUUGGCGGGGUAACGGCCCACCAAGUCGACGAUCAGUAGCCGGACUGAGAGGUUGAACGGCCACAUUGGGACUGAGACACGGCCCAGACUCCUACGGGAGGCAGCAGUGGGGGAUAUUGGACAAUGGGGGCAACCCUGAUCCAGCGACGCCGCGUGAGGGAAGAAGGUUUUCGGAUUGUAAACCUCUGUUGACGGAGAAAAAAAUGAUGGUAUCCGUUUAGAAAGCCACGG
This 362-nucleotide ribosomal RNA is filed under the name uncultured bacterium. RNAcentral's name for it is "bacterial SSU rRNA". It matches the Rfam family "Bacterial small subunit ribosomal RNA", at positions 117 to 496 of the family's 1533-position model. The record is from RNAcentral.